UACUCUCUCCUACCUGCCCUGCCACUUCUUUCCAAAAGAAUCCCCUAUCCUUAGUCCUGUCCCCUUAUUAUUGCUGACAGAGGGAUUUUCCUAUGAUUGUAAUCUGGGCCACUCAUUCUUCUGCUUAAAAAGUUUCCACAUUCCCUGGAGCUUUUAGGACAAAGCUAGCGUAGUAUUCCAGGCCUUCAUUUUCUGACAUUGAGUCGCACUUUUCUAUAAUUUCCCACACUACCUGCACGUCCUGUGCAGUUUCAUACCCUCUAGCCUUUGCAUAUACUCCACCCUCUGUCCGCAUCCCCUGUUCCCCUUCUUCACCUUGUCAACUCCUAUGUAUCUAGACUUCUGCCUCUGGGCAGUCUUCCCCAAUUUUCCCCUAGUCUGACUAGAUGCCCCUUCCCUGGGCCUCCAGCAGACCCUGUCCCUACUUUGUGGCGUUUACCAGACUACAUUGCAAUAAUGGAUUCCACUGUCUCCUCCUCCAUCAUUCGUUUUUCUCAAAAUGUGAUUCAUGAUCUCCCUGUUUCAGAAUCACUUGUGAUGUUUGUUUAACAAACAGGCUCCUGGGUCUUAUCCCAGAUCACCAGCUCAGAUUCUUUGCAGGACAGAGCCUAGAAAUCUGCAUUUUGAACAUUUCCUGAGAUGAUUCUAACUUGUACCAAGUGUAAGAACCACCACACUAGACAGGGAAGUGGCCAUGCUUUCUUGUACCCCUGCAUCUAACACAGUGUGUGGCACAAAGUAAGCUCACAAUGAACGUGCUCUGAAUGAAUGAGUUAAUGAGCAGCCCUGGUCAAGGACAACCCAAACGGAAGGCAAAUAUAUUGGGCUGCAGAGAUUCCAGGCGCCAGCAGAUGGCGCUGUGUCAGCAGAAAUGCUUUUCCGUGAAGGGCGGGAAGACAGGAAGUUUUGUUUUACCGGAAUUCAAGCCUCAAAUGCAUAAUUGAACUUAUUUUUUCCUGUUCAGUUUACCUACCAUUGUCCUACUUGCUUAAGUAAAUUUAUUUCUGAAAGCAUGAAGACUUCGAGAAGAAAAAUAAGUGGGAGGAGACUGGUUAUGGAGGAGAGCUGAGCAGUCUGAAAGCCCAAGUCUUCCUUCUGGGGAUCCAGGCUGAUGGAGCACCUAUAACUGGAAACGUGCUGGUCGCCAUGGCAAAGGAAAAGAGGAGUUUCUGCUUGAAAGCGACACUGCCCAGGGUCAGAAGCAUUGUUUUAAGGAGCAAAUCAAAAUGACUGAUAAUGUAAAGAGCAUAUAACUUAUCAUUUUAAAGCACUUAGACGUGGAUAGAACUUCUAAAUGCUUCACUGGAAUUGGAACAGUUUAUUCUUUGUUCUCUUUAUUCUCAGAGCACAGAAGGUUAUAGGCCUCAGAGUUAAGAUCUAGUUCUUACUCAAUGGUUAAGGAAAGGCAGCUAACAAGAUGGAAACUAACAAGAAUCCAUGUAUCAUUAUCGGGUGAGUUUCCCAAUACAGAGCUUUAUAACAGGUAUUGAUUCCAAAUCUAUAGCAAUAUUGUAGGUCUCAUCCUUGGGGUAGCUGGACAGAGUCUUGGGGUGGGGAAACUCCUGAGCCUAUUGUCUUUGGUAAUGACUAGCCUCACUCUUCUACUCCUGAAUGCUAUUGCUAAUAAUAAUUACAAAUAUUAUUAUUUUAUAUGUGCUGGCAAGAAACACUGGCUAGAGCAAUGGUUACUAUAUUCUGGAGACUAAUACUAGCUUAUGAGCAUGUCUUUACCAACCUAGAAAAGUGAGAAAAAUAACUAAUGUUUAAUUAGUGCAAUUGACUGGAUGUUUAUGUUCCCUCAAAAUUCAUAUGUUGAAAUCUUGACCUAAUGUGAUAGUAUUUGGAGACUUUGGGGGGGGUAAUUAGGUCAAAAGUGUGGAGCCCUCAAGAAUGAGAUCAGUGCCCUUUUAAGAAGAGGCCUAAUGGAAGAAUGUACUUACCAAGAACCCAAUCAUGCUGGCAUCUUCAUCCCAGCCUUCAAGCCUCCAGAAUGUGAGAAAUAAAUAUUGGUUGUUUAAGCCACUCAAUUUGUGGUGAUGUGUUAGAGCAGCCCAGAAUAAGACAGUGAGUAAUGUUUGCAUAAAACUUUUUAAUUCAAAAGGCUGUACUUGAUUUCAAAAUUAUAUCCUUACUGUUUUUGAGAGAAAAAAAAUUUUUUGUAAAUUAAAAAUACACCAAAAUACUGCUUAUUACCUAUCAGAUUGACAAAAAUUCAAAAGCUAAACAUUAAUAGCCCGGCCAGUAUGACUCAGUGGUUAAGCAUCAACCUAUGAACCAGGAGGUCAAGGUUCGAUUCCCUGUCAGGCACAUGCCUGGGUUGAGGCUUGAGCCCCAGUGGGGGUGUGAAGACGGCAGCUCUAAUUCUCUCUCAUCAUUGAUGUUUCUAUAGCUCUCUCUCCAUCUCCCUUCUUCUCUGAAAUCAAUUAAAAUAUAAAUAUAAAUAUAUAUAUAUAUUUUUAAGUUUAACCAAAUAAUCUUUUGGUGAGGCUGUUAACUGACAGUACUUUUAUAUGUUGCAGGUGGGAAUGUAAAAUAAUAUGAUUUGCAUGAAAAAGAAUUUAGCAAUAUCUAGAAAAAUUAUAUGUGUAUUUACACUUUGACCCAACCAUCCUGCUGUUAGAAAUGUCUCCCAAAGUUAUACUGGCAAAAUAGAUAUGAGAUGAGCUAUUAAUUGCUCUAGUGUCAUGGUAACAAGACACUGGAGAUGCCCAUUUUUUAGUGGGCUGUUGAAUAAGAAAUGGCCCACCCACACAAAGGAAGCUGUAAAGAAAAUAAGAAAUAACUGUGUGUACUGCUAUGGAGUGAAUUCUAGGAUAUGUGUUUGCCUGUUGCAAAUCAACAUGAAGAAAAUUGUGUGUACUAUGUUACUACUUAUCUAAGAAAACUGAAGGGGGAGGGGAUAAAAUUACAGAUAUAUGCAUAUAUUUUUUAAAAGGCUAACCCAAAAUUAAAAAAAGCCGUCCUCUAUAGGAGAGAGCGAUCAGGGUAGAGAGGACAGGGAUAGUAGCUACAUUUUUUCUCUAUAUACUUUGUUUGGUAAAUAUGUCUUAUUUUGUAAAUUUUACAUAAUUAUGAAAUAAAGUUAAAUUAAAAAAUAAGUCCCUGAACAUUAGAAUCAAAAUGAAACAAAUGAGUCUAACUCUAUAUUGAGUAGAUGCCAUAACCACAGAGAGAGGAACUAUUUCAAGUACUUAAAAAAACACACCAGUAACUUCACUAUAUAUUCUUUAUGGAGUAUACCCAAAUAACAAAAAAUAUUAUAAACUUUUUUAGACUGUAAUCAUAUUGUUGGUGGUAGAGGCAGUAUUGUUGAUCUAAAACUGUUUCUUGUGUGUGUUUUCUAGGAUAAAGCAAUUGGGCAAUUAUAUUGAGGUAUUUGGGAACCAAGAUUUUUGCUAUGGGAACAAAGAUAUACAAAUGUAAGAACAGUGAGGUUCAUUUAAAUACCUUGAAUCCUACCCUAGCCGGUUUGGCUCAGUGGACAUUGGUUGCAGGCUCAAUUCCCAGCCCUGGUGUGUGGGAGGCAACCCAUGGACAUGUUUCUCUCUCUCUCUCUCUCUCUCUCUCUCUCUCUCUCUCUCUCCUCCCUUCAACCCCUCCCUCCUAAAAAUCAAUGGAAAAAUAUCCUUGGGUGAGAAUUAACAAAAACA
Molecule: long non-coding RNA, 3650 nt
Organism: Myotis daubentonii (Daubenton's bat)
Lineage: Eukaryota; Metazoa; Chordata; Mammalia; Chiroptera; Vespertilionidae
Source: RefSeq, a predicted model, not a curated record